UCUUGGGGAGGUCGGAGAAGCUGGGUCCUUCUGAGCCGGACAUCUUGCACUCCUUCUUCUCUGUGGCAGUCGGGGUGGACGUCUCCAUGGUGACCGGCGAUGACUGGGGGAGAGAAGACCUGGAAAAAAACAGGAAGAAAGGAUGAUGGGACUACAUCAGCACGAUAUCCAUCCUCAAGCAGGAUUUCCAGAGAAGAAAACCCCGAUCAAUAAAGGCUGGCUGGAGGGGGACGUGUGAAAAUGGCGGCAGAAUGGCGGUUGGGGAGAUGAAAGUGACAUUCCCAUCACGGGUCCUGGGCCUGAUGACCACAGGCCCCGGCCUGCUUGAAUAAUCUGAA
Long non-coding RNA from Anguilla rostrata (American eel), 338 nucleotides. RefSeq lists it as uncharacterized. The transcript has 3 exons. The record is from RefSeq and is a predicted model, not a curated record. NCBI's taxonomy places the organism in Eukaryota, Metazoa, Chordata, Actinopteri, Anguilliformes, Anguillidae.